CUCAGUCCCGUCGCCGAACAGUUUUUUUUUUUUUGGGUCUAAUGUUAAGAUUUUAUACGAAACGUGAGGUUACAACCUAAAUUACAUACUGUAAACCCAAUAACAUAGGAACAGUCAGACAAAUGUUACUUGAGUUAAGAGAUACAAGAGAAGUAAAAAUGAAGAAGAGUAGUGGAAGAGCGCAUGUCUGAGGAAGGAAAGGACAAAAGACGAUUCCUCAAGGUCUUAUCAAUUGCCAAACACUGAGUGGAGACCGAAGAUGGAAUGCUGGUGAAGAUCCUAGCGUUGCGCUUUUUCCAAACGUGGUAAACCGCGGGCUGAAGGAGAAG
Arabidopsis thaliana (thale cress) is the source of this 329-nucleotide long non-coding RNA. RefSeq annotates it as other RNA. NCBI's taxonomy places the organism in Eukaryota, Viridiplantae, Streptophyta, Magnoliopsida, Brassicales, Brassicaceae. The transcript has a single exon. The record is from RefSeq.